Molecule: long non-coding RNA, 224 nt
Filed under: Mytilus galloprovincialis (Mediterranean mussel)
Lineage: Eukaryota; Metazoa; Mollusca; Bivalvia; Mytilida; Mytilidae
Source: RNAcentral
CAUUUUGGUCAUGUUGACUUAUUUGUAGAUCUUACUUUGCUGAACAUUAUUGCUGUUUACAGUUUAUCUCUAUCUAUAAUAAUAUUCAAGAUAAUAACCAAAAACAGCAAAAUUUCCUUAAAAUUACCAAUUUAGGGGCAGCAACCCAACAAUGGGUUGUCCGAUUCAUCUGAAAAUUUCAGGGCAGAUAGAUCUUGACCUGAUAAACAAUUUUACCCUUGUCA